RNAcentral lists this ribosomal RNA (158 nucleotides) under Russula sp. R8. RNAcentral's name for it is "5.8S ribosomal RNA". It matches the Rfam family "5.8S ribosomal RNA". Rfam says of the family: 5.8S ribosomal RNA (5.8S rRNA) is a component of the large subunit of the eukaryotic ribosome. It is transcribed by RNA polymerase I as part of the 45S precursor that also contains 18S and 28S rRNA. The record is from RNAcentral. Lineage: Eukaryota; Fungi; Basidiomycota; Agaricomycetes; Russulales; Russulaceae.
CAACAUUCAACAACGGAUCUCUUGGCUCUCGCAUCGAUGAAGAACGCAGCGAAAUGCGAUACGUAAUGUGAAUUGCAGAAUUCAGUGAAUCAUCGAAUCUUUGAACGCACCUUGCGCCCCUUGGCAUUCCGAGGGGCACACGGGUUUGAGUGUCGUGA